UACGAAGGGGGCUAGCGUUGCUCGGAAUGACUGGGCGUAAAGGGCGCGUAGGCGGCUCAUACAGUCAGGCGUGAAAUUCCUGGGCUCAACCUGGGGACUGCGCUUGAGACGUGUGGGCUUGAGUGAGGAAGAGGGUCGUGGAAUUCCCAGUGUAGAGGUGAAAUUCGUAGAUAUUGGGAAGAACACCGGUGGCGAAGGCGGCGACCUGGUCCGAUACUGACGCUGAUGCACGAAAGCGUGGGGAGCAAACAGG
RNAcentral lists this ribosomal RNA (253 nucleotides) under uncultured bacterium. RNAcentral describes it as "partial 16S ribosomal RNA". It matches the Rfam family "Bacterial small subunit ribosomal RNA", at positions 524 to 776 of the family's 1533-position model. The record is from RNAcentral.